Molecule: non-coding RNA, 192 nt
Organism: Vicia faba (fava bean)
Lineage: Eukaryota; Viridiplantae; Streptophyta; Magnoliopsida; Fabales; Fabaceae
Source: the annotation of a GenBank genome assembly
AUGUGUUUAUUUCUUUUCUGGUUUAUGAUUUGUGAUGAAAGCGGUAAAUGUAGAAAAGUAAAGAUAACAAGGAUGUAUUUUAGUUUUUCUCAUUGUUUGAGAGUACUUCAGUUUCUUUUUAACACGAGAGAGAUUUUAUUACUUCAGUUUCUUUUUAACACGAGAGAGAUUUCAUUAUUGUUAGAUCUCUAA